Molecule: ribosomal RNA, 497 nt
Filed under: uncultured bacterium
Lineage: Bacteria
Description: partial 16S ribosomal RNA
Rfam family: Bacterial small subunit ribosomal RNA
Source: RNAcentral
GGGGGGGGGGGGGGGGGGGGCGGGGGGGGGGGGGGCGGGGGGGGGGACGGGGGGCUUGCUCCUCUGACGUUGGCGGCGGGCGGGGGAGUAACACGUGGAUCACCUACCUAUAAGACUGGGAUAACUUCGGGAAACCGGAGCUAAUACCGGAUAAUAUAUUGAACCGCAUGGUGCAAUAGUGAAAGACGGUUUUGGUGUCACUUAUAGAUGGAUCCGCGCCGCAUUAGCUAGUUGGUAAGGUAACGGCUUACCAAGGCGACGAUGCGUAGCCGACCUGAGAGGGUGAUCGGCCACACUGGAACUGAGACACGGUCCAGACUCCUACGGGAGGCAGCAGUAGGGAAUCUUCCGCAAUGGGCGAAAGCCUGACGGAGCAACGCCGCGUGAGUGAUGAAGGUCUUCGGAUCGUAAAACUCUGUUAUUAGGGAAGAACAAAUGUGUAAGUAACUAUGCACGUCUUGACGGUACCUAAUCAGAAAGCCACGGCUAACUACGUG